UGAACCUUCGGGGAACGAUAACGGCGUCGAGCGGCGGACGGGUGAGUAAUGCCUAGGAAAUUGCCCUGAUGUGGGGGAUAACCAUUGGAAACGAUGGCUAAUACCGCAUAAUACCUUCGGGUCAAAGAGGGGGACCUUCGGGCCUCUCGCGUCAGGAUAUGCCUAGGUGGGAUUAGCUAGUUGGUGAGGUAAUGGCUCACCAAGGCGACGAUCCCUAGCUGGUCUGAGAGGAUGAUCAGCCACACUGGAACUGAGACACGGUCCAGACUCCUACGGGAGGCAGCAGUGGGGAAUAUUGCACAAUGGGCGCAAGCCUGAUGCAGCCAUGCCGCGUGUGUGAAGAAGGCCUUCGGGUUGUAAAGCACUUUCAGUCGUGAGGAAGGUAGUGUAGUUAAUAGCUGCAUUAUUUGACGUUAGCGACAGAAGAAGCACCGGCUAACUCCGUGCCAGCAGCCGCGGUAAUACGGAGGGUGCGAGCGUUAAUCGGAAUUACUGGGCGUAAAGCGCAUGCAGGUGGUUUGUUAAGUCAGAUGUGAAAGCCCGGGGCUCAACCUCGGAAUAGCAUUUGAAACUGGCAGACUAGAGUACUGUAGAGGGGGGUAGAAUUUCAGGUGUAGCGGUGAAAUGCGUAGAGAUCUGAAGGAAUACCGGUGGCGAAGGCGGCCCCCUGGACAGAUACUGACACUCAGAUGCGAAAGCGUGGGGAGCAAACAGGAUUAG
Molecule: ribosomal RNA, 720 nt
Filed under: Vibrio harveyi
Lineage: Bacteria; Pseudomonadati; Pseudomonadota; Gammaproteobacteria; Vibrionales; Vibrionaceae
Description: bacterial SSU rRNA
Rfam family: Bacterial small subunit ribosomal RNA
Source: RNAcentral